Molecule: transfer RNA, 76 nt
Filed under: Staphylococcus aureus
Lineage: Bacteria; Bacillati; Bacillota; Bacilli; Caryophanales; Staphylococcaceae
Description: tRNA-Asp
Rfam family: tRNA
About the family: Transfer RNA (tRNA) molecules are approximately 80 nucleotides in length. Their secondary structure includes four short double-helical elements and three loops (D, anti-codon, and T loops).
Source: RNAcentral
GGUCUCGUAGUGUAGCGGUUAACACGCCUGCCUGUCACGCAGGAGAUCGCGGGUCCGAUUCCCGUCGAGACCGCCA